RNAcentral lists this unclassified non-coding RNA (316 nucleotides) under uncultured Dothideomycetes. RNAcentral's name for it is "sequence contains ITS1". The stretch from base 1 to 105 matches the Rfam family "5.8S ribosomal RNA", at positions 50 to 154 of the family's 154-position model. The record is from RNAcentral. Lineage: Eukaryota; Fungi; Ascomycota; Dothideomycetes.
GAAAUGCGAUAAGUAGUGUGAAUUGCAGAAUUCAGUGAAUCAUCGAAUCUUUGAACGCACAUUGCGCCCCUCGGUAUCCCGGGGGGCAUGCCUGUUCGAGCGUCAUUUCUACCACUCAAGCUUAGCUUGGUAUUGGGCAUCGUUACUUCCUUAUUUAAAGGAAUUUAACGUACCCUAAAUGUAGACGGCGGCAAACACUAUUUCCGAGCGUAGCAGUAAAACAUUUUCGCUCUAGGAGUUUAGGGUAUUGUCUACCGCAUAGUUCUUUCUACUACAGUUUGACCUCGGAUCAGGCAGGGAUACCCGCUGAACUUAA